AAGACUAUAAUUUCAGGGAUCACUUCUAUAGUUUGUUACUAGAGAAAUUUCUCUGACUGUGUAGAGUACCAGAAACCACGAGGAGGAGGUACAGUGUUCUCUCCUGAGCAUGAACCUGGCUUGGGUGCUGCUGUUAGGGAGCUGCCUUUUGCCAGUGAUGAUCAUUCUGCUCUGCCUCUGGUGAAGUUGGAGGGACAGAACACAGUUUGAGUGGU
This is a small nucleolar RNA of Nannospalax galili (Upper Galilee mountains blind mole rat), 215 nucleotides long. Its record names the gene U3. It matches the Rfam family "Small nucleolar RNA U3". Rfam says of the family: Small nucleolar RNAs (snoRNAs) are involved in the processing and modification of rRNA in the nucleolus. There are two main classes of snoRNAs: the box C/D class, and the box H/ACA class. NCBI's taxonomy places the organism in Eukaryota, Metazoa, Chordata, Mammalia, Rodentia, Spalacidae. The record is from Ensembl.